CAUGGGCCGACUCGCAGCUCCCGGCCGCCUGGCGGUCUGCCGAAUUCGAUUAGUUUGAUCCUGGCUCAAGAUGAACGCUGGCGGCGUGCUUAACACAUGCAAGUCGAACGGGGGUGCCAUUUUCGAGGUGAUUAGUUUACUAAGAGCCAAGAUGUUGGUAUCUUAGUGGCGGACGGGUGAGUAACGCGUGGGUAACCUGCCUUAUACAGGGGGAUAACACUUAGAAAUAGGUGCUAAUACCGCAUAAGCGCACGGGGCUGCAUGGCCCAGUGUGAAAAACUCCGGUGGUAUAAGAUGGACCCGCGUCUGAUUAGCUUGUUGGCGGGGUAACGGCCCACCAAGGCGACGAUCAGUAGCCGGCCUGAGAGGGUGGACGGCCACAUUGGGACUGAGACACGGCCCAAACUCCUACGGGAGGCAGCAGUGGGGAAUAUUGGACAAUGGGGGGAACCCUGAUCCAGCGACGCCGCGUGAGUGAAGAAGUAUUUCGGUAUGUAAAGCUCUAUCAGCAGGGAAGAAAGAAAUGACGGUACCUGACUAAGAAGCCCCGGCUAACUACGUGCCAGCAGCCGCGGUAAUACGUAAGGGGCAAGCGUUAUCCGGAUUUACUGGGUGUAAAGGGAGCGUAGACGGUUGUGCAAGUCUGAAGU
RNAcentral lists this ribosomal RNA (650 nucleotides) under uncultured bacterium. RNAcentral's name for it is "bacterial SSU rRNA". It matches the Rfam family "Bacterial small subunit ribosomal RNA", at positions 1 to 595 of the family's 1533-position model. The record is from RNAcentral.